GGUGUCCUCAGCGAAGCGGGGGGAGAGCGGGUGGUGGCGUGUGAAACGGGAGAGGCCCCUCCAGCUUUGCCUCCAAGCAGCCCCGAGAGCGCGGCAGACUCCCUGGGGUGCCCACAAGAGCCGGCGAGCCUGUCAGAGGAAAGAAGGUUUGCAGGCUGUGCCCAGGACAAGGCAAAGAGAAGAAAGCGGAAGAGCAAACAGGCGUGGGGAGAGGAGAGUGCAAGGCGCACGGCAAAGAAGAGGAGGAAGAGAGAAGCGGUUUUGGCGGAUGGAGCAGUGCAAAGACGCAGGAAGGCGCAGCAGGUCAGGAAGGCCAGGCGCUGAUUCCUUGUCGCCGGGCGAAGCGUUGGGAGUGCUGGGCCCCGCCGCUGACGUCCAGAAUAAAAUGAUGUUUUCUGU
This is a long non-coding RNA of Gymnogyps californianus (California condor), 399 nucleotides long. RefSeq lists it as uncharacterized. The transcript has 4 exons. The record is from RefSeq and is a predicted model, not a curated record. NCBI's taxonomy places the organism in Eukaryota, Metazoa, Chordata, Aves, Accipitriformes, Cathartidae.